UGGGGAAUCUUGCGCAAUGGCCGCAAGGCUGACGCAGCGACGCCGCGUGUGGGAGGACGCCUCGGGGUGGUAAACCACUGUUGCCCGGGACGAACGGGCGCUUUCGAGCGCCGUGACGGUACCGGGUGAGGAAGCACCGGCUAACUCCGUGCCAGCAGCCGCGGUAAUACGGAGGGUGCGAGCGUUGUCCGGAAUCACUGGGCGUAAAGGGCGCGUAGGCGGCGCGGUAAGCGGGCGGUGAAAGCCCGGGGCUCAACCCCGGGCUCGGGCCGGUGCCGGACUGCCCGGUGCCUGGCAGGCACUGUAGAGGCGGGUGGAAUUCCGGGUGUAGCGGUGGAAUGCGUAGAGAUCCGGAAGAACACCGGUGGCGAAGGCGGCCCGCCGGGCAGUGGCUGACGCUGAGGCGCGACAGCGUGGGGGAGCAAACA
RNAcentral lists this ribosomal RNA (428 nucleotides) under uncultured Gemmatimonas sp. RNAcentral describes it as "bacterial SSU rRNA". It matches the Rfam family "Bacterial small subunit ribosomal RNA", at positions 355 to 774 of the family's 1533-position model. Lineage: Bacteria; Pseudomonadati; Gemmatimonadota; Gemmatimonadia; Gemmatimonadales; Gemmatimonadaceae. The record is from RNAcentral.